Daphnia pulex (common water flea) is the source of this 73-nucleotide non-coding RNA. The record is from Rfam. NCBI's taxonomy places the organism in Eukaryota, Metazoa, Arthropoda, Branchiopoda, Diplostraca, Daphniidae.
GCUGAAAUAGCUCAGUUGGGAGAGCGUUAGACUGAAAAUCUUAAGGUCUCUGGUUCGAUCCCGGGUUUCGGCA